UACGAAGGGGGCUAGCGUUGCUCGGAAUCACUGGGCGUCCCGGGUGCGUAGGCGGGUCUUUAAGUCAGGGGUGAAAUCCUGGAGCUCAACUCCAGAACUGCCUUUGAUACUGAAGAUCUUGAGUUCGGGAGAGGUGAGUGGAACUGCGAGUGUAGAGGUGAAAUUCGUAGAUAUUCGCAAGAACACCAGUGGCGAAGGCGGCUCACUGGCCCGGUACUGACGCUGAGGUGCGAAAGCGUGGGGAGCAAACAGG
Molecule: ribosomal RNA, 253 nt
Filed under: uncultured bacterium
Lineage: Bacteria
Description: partial 16S ribosomal RNA
Rfam family: Bacterial small subunit ribosomal RNA
Source: RNAcentral